GCCUUCGUAGUGCAGUGGUCAGCAUGCUUGACGCUUAUUUGAGAGGUCCGUGGUUCGAAUCCUGGUGAGGGCA
Stegodyphus dumicola is the source of this 73-nucleotide non-coding RNA. NCBI's taxonomy places the organism in Eukaryota, Metazoa, Arthropoda, Arachnida, Araneae, Eresidae. The record is from the annotation of a RefSeq genome assembly.